AUUGCUUUACCCACAGAAAGUCUUUACACUGGAGGAAUGGAAAUGGGCAACUAAGAAAGCAGUAUUAUUUCCAUUUUGUAGAUGAAGAAAUUGAAGCUUAGAGAGCUCAAGUAACAGAGUUGGCAAACGCUCCCCAUAACAGGCAAGGCCCAGAAGCUUUUUUCCAGAGUGACUUAGUUGCUCGGUUGGAAGCCCAGCAGCAAAAGGUUUUGUGGGAACAUCAGCCUGGUGGGAGAGAAGUAGGCGAGUGGAAGAAGUGGGGACACAGCCAAAUCUUGCAAAUCAUGGAGCCGCGUGAAGGGUCCCCAGGCAGCUUCCUGGGCUAUCGUCUCUUGCCCUCCAGAGAAGAGCCAGGUCCAAAAGGAGGAGAGCAGGCGCUUUCUGGGAAGCUGACCAUGCUCCAUCCCCACCCCAACUAGAGAAAGUGCAGACCAUGGCCCCCUCUCCACCUUAGAGCCCCCAGCCAGGACACGACCUGAUGUUGGAGCAAGACAGAACACUGAAUCAGAGAGGUUCUGUCAUCUUUACUAUUUUUACAUAUAUUACUUCAAUAGUUUACCAUUUCUCCUGCUCUGGAACUGUACAGGUAAGCAGUCAAAUAAUUUAAAGAUCACAGUUUACUUGUAAAGAUUGCUUCGUUUGUUUUUAAUAGCAUGUGUUAUAUACUCAUAUUUUUCAUACAUUUAGGUGCACUCAUGCACCAAGUCACAUGCUCUCAUCUCUAUUUGACUGAUGAGGGUGUAUAUAUUUGAGUAUAAUACUGAAAGGCAAAUUUCUGCAAACUUGGGCUUCGGUUAUAAUAAAUCCAGGAUACUGGAUUUCCUUGAUUGGAAUAUGUGGGAAGGCUCUGUGGAGGUGGUGGGCUUUGACGUUAGUCAGAAGAAACUGAUAGACUUUAAUGAAAAAUAACUAUCUAGACAUAAGGCAGAGAGAGAGGGAGAGAAAUAGAGAUAGGCAGUGAGAGAGGUGAGCAUGUGAUUGUGAGUAGUUAAGGAGGCCUAGGCUAGAAGUAUAAGUAUUUUUACGUGGUUAAACUCAUACCUUAGGGAAGAGAUGGAAAAUGGGGUUCUUAUGUCAACCAAAAGCAACUGAUAGAGAGUAUCUUGAGUACUGUGUUGUAGAGGAUUCUGAAACUAAGUCAGAGCUCUAUAGAAAAGAAUGUUGUGAUGUCAGCCUUGGGCCCUAGAGGGACGAGUGUUUGCUUAUUUGUCAUAUAUUACCCUCAAUAAUUUCUAGGAAUCAAUUGACAGCUGUAAGGAAGUUCUCUAGAAAUAAAGCAAAUUAUGGGCAUCCAAAGGAAGAAAAAGAUGGUUCAUAAAAGAGGAGAGCUAAGUUAACCACACCACAGAGAAAAAUUUUUCCUAUGUUAUUAUUUUGCCUAAAUUGCCAAAUAUGUAUUCCUAAUAUUGGUGGUAUUUGUUGAUAGUACAAUCAGUAUUGCCCCUCAGACCCUGUUCUUCUCUUAUGGCUGAUAUUCUCUGUUAGUAAGAGCACAUUAGCCUCCUGUGCUCCAUCUCUCAGGCCUGUCUUGUGUCAGGGCGCUGUCUAGCAGGGGAAUGUUCUGCAUGUGAUAUGGGGUGGGAGACCUGGGCCAUUUCACAUUCAUUUUAAGUGGUUUCUCAGGGCUUGCCCUAGUUUAAGAUCUCUGAAAUGAGAGAUUUCUCUUUCACAACAGAUGGACAUAAACUUGAUGACAUUGUUCCUUUGUUAAAUUCUAAAAAUUAGACUCCUAUAUUCUUUUUACAGUUCAAAUUUUCUGACUGAGAAGGAAAUCCUAUGUCUAUGAGACUGUAGGAAUUGAUUUGAUAACUCAAGUUCUGGGUGUUUGAUAGGAGUUUACGCAGUUAUGAGACCAUUUUCAAAUUCAUAUUUUCCAUAGGAAAAUAAUUCCCUCUCAAAUAACUUUUUAAAGUGAUUGCUACAUGGAUUCUUAACAUUAUAUACGGGAUUUUUGUUUGUUUUGCUCUUUUAAAAUACAGUUUGUUCAUGGUGAAAUUAGCAUAUAGAAGAUAUUCCAGGGUAUGGUGAGAUGGAAAAUUACAUGUUUGGUUUCUUCUUCUAAAAACUAUAUUUGAAAAUAAUAUUUCAAAGGAAAUGAGUAUUUUUAGCCUCUUUUAAAUGCCAGUCUCUGUAAUUAUAUAAUUUAAGAAAAGAGCAUAUAGGAGAUUCCCAAUAAAUGUUUUUUAAAUCAAUGGAUGAAGAAUGAAUUGGCUUUGUCACUAGGAUUAGCCAUCCAAAUGUUGGACUUUUGUCUAGUAUUUCUGUGAUAGCUGAGAUUUGUUUUUUCCUUCUUGAUUCUCAUGAUGGUCAAGAGGUGCUAGCAGCAGCAGUGAGAAAAGAUGGCUGAAACACGGCCAUGGAUCUGAAAAGUUCUCCCAGAUUUUAUGGCUCCUGGGGUUGGUCCUAGAUAAUAAAUCUUAGGGGACACAGCUCAAAGUUUAAGGCAAGAUGAAAAACUUGUAGAAAACUCUUCACCUUUAAGCAAGGAUUAGAGAAACUCAGCAAGGGGGAUUACUUGUCCUGUCUUGGCAGCUAUAACGAGGCAAAUGGACAUUUUAAGACGCAGCUUGCCUGGCAGAAGUUAGUUAGCUUCAACAUGUGGUUUAAAAAUUAAAUAUCAAAUUUUACUUUGUAUCCUAAAGUAUUUGGAAGUUGAGGCUUAUGAAAUUUUUCUGAGACAGAGAGUAAAGAGGAAUGGUGGCAUAGCCUUGACGGUUUUGUAUAAACCAGGUGACAAUAUAAUUUAUCACACAAAGCAGGAUACUUCUGAGAAGGAAAAAGAUUGUUAUCGAUAAUUACACCUGGAAAACAGGUGUAAACUUAGACUUUCCCAGAAAAGCUGGACAUAUGGUCACCCUAUGUAUCACAGAUUGUUCUCAGAGUGUUGGGAAAAGAAAUACUAGAUUUGGCUUUUUCUUCCACAUUUCCAUGGAGAACACUCCCUUCAUGCACCCCAAUGAGUUACCUGUGGUUAAAACAUUGGGCACUUUUCAGUAGUAAUAUUUUUAAAUAGUGGCUCCCUAAUUUCCUGGAAUCAAGAUCCCUUUACAUUUAAAAAAAUUGUCAAGGAUCUCAAAACAUUUUAUUUAUGUAGGAUAUGUAUCUAUUGAUGUUUGCCAUAUUAGAAAUUAAAACAGAAUUUUUAAAAUAUUUUUUCAUACAUUUAAAAAUAACAGUUAGGCCUCUACUUCUGUAAAGAUGGAGUAGACAGACUUUCCCCCAUUCCUCCCACUAAGUACAACUAAAAACUCUGGCUGUUACGUGUAAAACAGACACAAGAGGACUGAAAGUCGAAAACAAGAAGACUGAGCAGCUAAGGACCUAAGGAAUGACAUUAUGAGUUUCCCGGGUUUUCUUUUUGCCUCAUAUAUCCCAGACUGUAGAUUAGAUACUGGAGAAGCCAGCAACUCAGGAAUGCCAAUGGACGCAGACAAAAAUACAAAACAAAACCUUAAGAGAAACCUUUUUUCCUUAGCCAAAGGACCAGAAAAGUGAUAUCCCAGCAAGAUAAAACAUUGACAAUAGUCAGUAGACAAUAACCAUUUUAUUCCAGCCAAACACCACAGAAAAAGUGUCUCCAACCUAGCCCUGCUAGGAAAGGUCAAGUGAAGAGCCUAGACUUCUGUUUUUGCCAGGAGGUAAGGAUGUGCCCCAAUCCUCCCACUCACUCUCUAUUACCCACCACCACCCUCACCGAGAUGGUAUCAAAGAAGGCUGAGUGUGGAGCAAGUCCUGACUUUCACUACUGUUCACCUCUAAUGAGGGCGCCCCAUCAAUGCAGACCACACAGGGAGCCUAGAUUUCCACCCCCACAUGAAAUAACAAGAUACCCUUCCCGCUCCCACAAGGGUGGUGUUAGAAUUUUCAUGGAAAGUCAGGACUUUCAUGACCGCCCAGCAGUAACAAGACCAUCCUCUCCCCAUCUGCCUGCCAAUGAAAGUGGAGGUUACUUACGGAGUAGUACUGAGGCGUUCCUCCCCCUGCCACUCAGGAGGUAUCAGCAGAGACCUAGUGGGGAGCCUGGAAAAAUGUUAACACCAGUAGACUUUGAUAAGUUAUGAAGGUAAUACCUAGAGCAACCCCCUCCCCCCCCAAAAAAACAGCUGUGCAAAGAGAUACACACAACAAGGUAGAGAAAUUAAAAUGGUACUCUAAAACACGUUCAAGUAACCUACAGGAAAGUAGGAAAAAUGAGUAAAGAAAGAACAGACAUAAGAAAAAAACCCCAAAAAAUAAAAUGGCAGACUUAAGUCAUAACAUACCAAUACAUUAAAUGUAAAUGGUCUAAAUACACAAGUUAAAAGAAAGAAAUUGGUAAUGUGGAUAAAAAAAGGCCCAAUUAUACCCUGUCUAUAAGAAACUCACUUCAGGGGCCGGCUCCGUGGCCGAGUGGUUAAGUUCGCACGCUCCACUGCGGCAGCCCAGGGUUCGGAUCCUGGGCACGGACAUGGCACCGCUCGUCAGGCUACGUUGAAGCGGCGUCCCACAUCCCACAACUAGAAGGACCUGCAACUAAGAUAUACAACUGUGUACAGGGUGGGGUUUGGGGAGAUAAAGCAGAAAAAAAAAAAAAAAAGAUUGGCAACAGUUGUUAACCCAGGUGCCAAUCUUUAAAAACAAAACAAAAAAAAAAGAAACUCACUUCAAAUAUAAUAAUAUAGAUCUCCCUGCUCCAAACCAGUUAUUCAUCCUGUGUCCCAUUCGCCCAAAGGGGCCAGCUGACAAAGCCUGAGAUGCUUUCAGGGUUAUUUGCAUUUUAGUGGGGGUCUCCUAAAGAAUGGAAAAUUUAAAACUCAAGUAAAUUAAUUUCUUUUUUUUUUUUUUUUUUUUGAGGAAGGUUAGCCCUGAGCUAACUACUGCCAGUCCUCCUCUUUUUGCUGAGGAAGCCUGGCGCUGAGCUAACAUCUGUGCCCAUCUUCCUCUACUUUAUAUGUGGGACACCUGCCACGGCAUGGCUUGAUGAGCGGUGUGCAGGUCUGCAACGGGGAUCUGAACUGGCGAACCCUGGGCUGCCGAGAAGCGGAACAUGUGAACUUCACUGCUGUGACACCCGGCCGGCCCCUCAGGUAAGUUAAUUUCUAAUGAUGAAAUUUCAAGCUGGUGGAGAAGAAGAUUUGGAACAAGGAGAAUCAGCCAACCCUACUCGCAUGCUGUAUACCCAAUUCAUUCCUUCUAGGAAUGCUUUUGCUCCUGCUCCCAUCCCAAUGAUCCUACAGAGUUGUCUAUCUAGCAAGGAAUAACAUAUCUGGAGGGAGAAUAGUGAAAUCUCUUUAAGGAAAAGAAAAUUUUUUGAGCUUUGAAAGAAUGGCAACAAUUUAAAAGGAAAACAUAGGAACAAUUUUGGCCCAUUUCAACGCAGAGUCAGAUUGGUUUAGGAUCAGCAUACUGUGGUAGUGGGAAUUUUAAGUCACGUACGUUUUGAGGAGCGUGUGUCCAUGUUCAAGUUCAGUAUGUUGGCAGGUCUCCUUCCACUUGGCAGACUAUUCAUCACACACAGAGGGGAAAAAGCCAGUGCAAAUCGCCAUGGGAAGUGUGGUCACCUAUUUGCAGGGAUGUGUGGGGAAUCAGCAGCCCAAUAGUCAUUUUACUUCAAAGAGACAUUGGAUAAGUAGGUGUACUGACCCUUUACUUUGUGCUUUGAUGACCACUAGUUAAAGCUUUUCUUCUCCAGACCCAGCAAGAGUACUCGGCAUUUUGUUGCCAAGUUUUUGGAGACCUCUGGUCAUUAAGCCUUCACUAGCAAUCUGUUCUAGCCCUGAAAGUUUACUCCCAUUGCAAAUAGAUUGUGACGUUAAUUGUCAACAUGCCUGGAUGAAGAAUGGGCCAUGUCCAUUCUUGUUGGAAAGAUUUGGGAAAUUUCCCUGAAAAUCGUGUAUCCUUUGGACUUAUUUCUCUAACUCUGAUUGGUCGUUCUUCCAAAUGUUGCCAAAUCUUCUAGAAAUGCUUUUCAACCUAUGUAAUUAAGGAGAUUAAAAGUGACAGCAUUUUUCUUGUUGAAUCAAUGAUGGGUUUUUAUUUUAUCACUUUUCAAAAGAUAUAAUAACCACCAUCUUUUGCAAGAACAAUAUCAGAAACAAUUAUAUGAUUAAAUCAAGGAGAAAAUCAAGCAGAGAAAAAUACCAAUAUAAUGUUAUGAUUAUAAUGGUUUCUGUUUUUAUUGUCUCACAUUCUUAACUUGGCAUCCAGAACUCCCAUAAAUCCAGCCCUAGUUUAUCUUUCUGGCGUCAUCUCCUAUUUCAUAACACAUAGUUUUUACUUUAGUUAAACUAAUUUAUUGGGUUUCUUUCAACUUUUUCACUUUUUUCUUCUCCUUAUCUUUCCAUAUGCUCUACCCAUUAUACUUUUGUAAUAUCAUCUCCAUUUCUGACCAGGUUAGGAAAUCCUUCCUCUUUCUAAGUGCUCAGAAAUAAUUCCCCUUCUUGGAUUCCACCGUUGAACACAAGCUUUUUCUCUUUUAAACUCCUUUGUUCUUACUCCAUGUAUUGAAGUGGGUUCAUUUUGUUAUCAAUAAUUGUGUGUAACCCGUUUCUUAGUGAAGAAUUGAAGCAAUGACUGUGAAAUACUCAAAGGAGUGUAGAUGGAGAAAAGAAGAAAUGGAUUUCUAGAACACAUCAAUGCAAAUAUUUAGAAUUAGCCCACAUCCUCCCCGUUUACUACAGGUUCUUUCUCUGCUUAGUGUGUGAACAAAUAUUCAGCUUUCUUCUAUCUCAAUGGACCACUUGAGUUAAUUGUUACGUAUUAAUCUUUUCUGUGUUCCUAAAGCAAAGACUUUCUACAGGUGAGUCCCAAACUGGUAAGUGAUAGGAUGCUCCUAUUCCUGGAAAAUUAAGUCUUGCUUUCCAAGUGUGCUUUUCUUUAAGAUACAAAUACAUGUUACAUGGGAACACGUGUGUGCUGACUCCAUUCACCCACACUACUGGGCCGUUUUGAUUAAUAAAAUAAGAUAAUGUAUCAUCAGAUUUCAUACAAACAGCUUUAUAUUUUUUUCCUUUAAUUUUUCUUCUUUCCCUCCACCUUCUUUUUCUUCCAUAAACUGAUUAAGGAGAAAAUAUUUUAUCUAUAGGGAUUUCUCUUUUAGGGUCACUGUGAUCUCAACUCCAGAUAGUCCUGACUUUGUGAAGUCACAAGUGCUAUGGUGAAGACUAAUUGUGAUGACGCUGGAUCACGGUAUCACUGAGCAAUGAAUGCAGCAGGCGGCCAGGGAAAGGAUUGGAGCAGGAGAGGAAAAGGCAACUUACCAUAAAGAUCAAAUGUUUAUUUCAGUUAGGUAAACAGCAGAAACAGGAAAAAAAUUACUCCUUCAUAAUGAACAGCUUUUUCUUUAUUAUAACAAAAAUAAUGCAGGCUUGUUGAAAGAUAAUUUAAUUAUAUCACCUGUUAUUCUUACCAUGGUUACCAUCUUGUCUAUCAUGCUAUAUGACAAAAAUUUAAUUAAAUUCUCCAUAUAGUUUCAAACUAUUUUUGUUAAUAUGUCACAAAUACACCAUAAUAUAGCAGGAACAUCUCAAUGUAUCAUUAAUGUCAGUAAAUAUGGAUGUUUGUAACAGCUGCAUAUGUCAUUAAAUGAACUAUAAACUAUGCUAUAAUUUAAGUAACUUGUGCUCUAUUUAUGCACACUAGUAUUUACUGACUCCAAUUUUUCUAUAUUUUAAACAAUUCUAAAAUGAACUUUUUAGGUACAUUUUGUUUAACUUGUCUAAUUGUUUCCUUAAGAUAAUUUCUAGAAAUUGACUUGAUCGGUCCCAGGAUGUGCACGUUUAAAUUUUGCUAUAUAUUUUACCAAAUUUCCCUUGAGAAAAGCAGGACUAAUUUCUUCCUGUGAACAGGGUUUGAGAGUAUCUUUCCUCUCCACACCUGAUGCCUACUAUAUUAUUAGUUUUUAAACUUUUGCCAAAAUGACUAAAAAACCUUGCCAUAUUUCUCUAUCUCAGCAUUUCUAUGAUUACAAAAGAACUUGAAUAUUUUUGUUUAUUAACAAUUUUUAUUUCUGUAUAUUAUUAUAUAUUGAACUAUGCG
RNAcentral lists this long non-coding RNA (8016 nucleotides) under Equus caballus (horse). RNAcentral's name for it is "lncRNA (ENSECAG00000033671.2)". The record is from RNAcentral. Lineage: Eukaryota; Metazoa; Chordata; Mammalia; Perissodactyla; Equidae.